RNAcentral lists this ribosomal RNA (254 nucleotides) under uncultured bacterium. RNAcentral's name for it is "partial 16S ribosomal RNA". It matches the Rfam family "Bacterial small subunit ribosomal RNA", at positions 524 to 776 of the family's 1533-position model. The record is from RNAcentral.
UACAGAGGUCCCAAGCGUUGUUCGGAUUCACUGGGCGUAAAGGGUGCGUAGGUGGCCAGGUAAGUUUGGUGUGAAAGCUCGGAGCUUAACUCCGAAAAGUCAUUGAAUACUAUCUGGCUGGAAGGGUCGGAGGGGAGACUGGAAUUCUCGGUGUAGCAGUGAAAUGCGUAGAUAUCGAGAGGAACACCAGUGGCGAAGGCGAGUCUCUGGACGACUCCUGACACUGAGGCACGAAAGCUAGGGGAGCAAACAGG